AUUGAACGCUGGCGGCAUGCUUUACACAUGCAAGUCGAACGGUAACAGGCCUUCGGGUGCUGACGAGUGGCGAACGGGUGAGUAAUGCAUCGGAACGUACCCAGAGGUGGGGGAUAACGCAGCGAAAGCUGUGCUAAUACCGCAUGUGAUCUGAGGAUGAAAGCGGGGGACCGAGCAGCAAUGUUUGGCCUCGCGCCUUUGGAGCGGCCGAUGUCGGAUUAGCUAGUUGGUGGGGUAAAGGCCUACCAAGGCGACGAUCCGUAGCUGGUCUGAGAGGACGACCAGCCACACUGGGACUGAGACACGGCCCAGACUCCUACGAGAGGCAGCAGUGGGGAAUUUUGGACAAUGGGCGCAAGCCUGAUCCAGCAAUGCCGCGUGCGGGAAGAAGGCCUUCGGGUUGUAAACCGCUUUUGGCAGGAACGAAACGGUGUCCGCUAAUACCGGGCGCUAAUGACGGUACCUGCAGAAUAAGCACCGGCUAACUACGUG
This 492-nucleotide ribosomal RNA is filed under the name uncultured bacterium. Its description in RNAcentral is "partial 16S ribosomal RNA". It matches the Rfam family "Bacterial small subunit ribosomal RNA", at positions 29 to 507 of the family's 1533-position model. The record is from RNAcentral.